UGCCAGCAGCCGCGGUAAUACGGAGGGGGUUAGCGUUGUUCGGAAUUACCGGGCGUAAAGCGUACGUAGGCGGAUCAGAAAGUAUAGGGUGAAAUCCCGGGGCUCAACCCCGGAACUGCCUUGUAAACUCCUGGUCUUGAGUUCGAGAGAGGUGAGUGGAAUUCCGAGUGUAGAGGUGAAAUUCGUAGAUAUUCGGAGGAACACCAGUGGCGAAGGCGGCUCACUGGCUCGAUACUGACGCUGAGGUACGAAAGCUAGGGGAGCGAACGGGAUUAGAUA
Molecule: ribosomal RNA, 279 nt
Filed under: uncultured bacterium
Lineage: Bacteria
Description: partial 16S ribosomal RNA
Rfam family: Bacterial small subunit ribosomal RNA
Source: RNAcentral